ACAUGAGAGCUAGGUCUCUCUCAGAUACAAAGUCAAAUCUCCCGGUCUUAGGGAAGAUGGACCUAGACAAUAUACUCAAGAGGAUCCGCAUCUCAAUCGGUAGUGAGCGAGCGGAUACCUCGUCUAUGGGUGACUGGGGUGGAUGCCCUAGAACGGCCGUAAGGGCCUCAACCCUGUCCUCAGGGUGUGUGGGAGCCACCCCUACUAAUGGAAGGCGGAGG
Molecule: long non-coding RNA, 221 nt
Filed under: Phoenix dactylifera (date palm)
Lineage: Eukaryota; Viridiplantae; Streptophyta; Magnoliopsida; Arecales; Arecaceae
Description: long non-coding RNA (PDAC_LNC016174)
Source: RNAcentral